GACGAACGCUGGCGGCGUGCCUAAUACAUGCAAGUAGAACGCUGAAGCGAGGAGCUUGCUCUUCUUGGCUGAGUUGCGAACGGGUGAGUAACGCGUAGGUAACCUGCCUGGUAGCGGGGGAUAACUAUUGGAAACGAUAGCUAAUACCGCAUAAAAUUGAUUAUUGCAUGAUAAUUAAUUGAAAGAUGCAACUGCAUCACUACCAGAUGGACCUGCGUUGUAUUAGCUAGUUGGUGAGGUAACGGCUCACCAAGGCGACGAUACAUAGCCGACCUGAGAGGGUGAUCGGCCACACUGGGACUGAGACACGGCCCAGACUCCUACGGGAGGCAGCAGUAGGGGAUCUUCGGCAAUGGGGGGAACCCUGACCGAGCAACGCCGCGUGAGUGAAGAAGGUUGUCGGAUCGUAAAGCUCUGUUGUAAGAGAAGAACGGGUGUGAGAGUGGAAAGUUCACACUGUGACGGUAUCUUACCAGAAAGGGACGGCUAACUACGUG
This 497-nucleotide ribosomal RNA is filed under the name uncultured bacterium. Its description in RNAcentral is "partial 16S ribosomal RNA". It matches the Rfam family "Bacterial small subunit ribosomal RNA", at positions 28 to 507 of the family's 1533-position model. The record is from RNAcentral.